UUGAAAACCAGAGCUCAUCCCAUGCAUUACUACUUACUUGAAUGAAUGGAACACAUCACCAUUUGGGUUAUAAAUACCCAGAUUCUAAUGCUUGUUGUGUUAAUUUAAAGAUGAAGUGCUUUCCGGCUUUCCCCCUCCUUGUGCUGUUUUUCUUAGUUCUUUCAAGUGGUACUACGUUGGGAGAGGCACAAAGCUGUUCGGAACCUACUCUCCAUAUUCUGUACUGCACAAAGCAGACAUGCGUCCAAAGCUGCGUUGAAACACAUGGCCGAAGUAUUAAUGGUGGGUGCAUCGAUGAGAAUACUUGCUGUUGCCUCGAUGUUUCAAUAUAUGAAAUCAAAUAAUAGAGGAAAUUCCAACUCUUUCGAAAUAAGGAAAUAGUUAUACAUUGUUCGUGUGUACUUUUCCAUCUGUAAUCCUUGAAAAAUUCAAAUGAAUUGCUCAGAAGUUCUUCUCUAAUGUUUUUUUGCCUUCUUCGAUCUCGAAGGAAUUAGUAAAAAGUAGCUUACUUCUUGAUUUCUUUAUGACAA
Molecule: long non-coding RNA, 530 nt
Organism: Carya illinoinensis
Lineage: Eukaryota; Viridiplantae; Streptophyta; Magnoliopsida; Fagales; Juglandaceae
Exons: 2
Source: RefSeq, a predicted model, not a curated record